CCGCUUGACAAGUAAGGUAAACAUGUGAAAUGAUCUGAAAUGAAAGUACAAAAAUAACUUAUUUGGCUUGUACAAGAUUGAUAAGAUAUUCAUGAUCACAAGUUUACAAUAAAGACACAUACUCAGUUUAUGUUCUAUAUAAAUGCAUUUCAUCAAAAGGAUGGACCUUCAAACAGAAUACUUUAACAUGGUAUGGUGAGGUUCUGACCACUCUUAGAUUUUUGGCAAAAGGGGAUUGUCAGUCGGAGGUGGGUGAUAACCAUGGCAUAUCCAUGUCAUCUGCAUCAAGGAUAAUACAUAGUGUACGCUCUGCAAUCAACUCGUGCUUACCCAAUAUACAAUUUCCAAGAGCUGCAGAUCUUACAGCCAUCACAGAAGGAGAUUAAAUUUGAAAUUGUAACCAUUGACCAGUAGUAAUAAUGUUUAAUGUUUCCUGAGACAUUAUCAUAUCUGCCAUGAUUGGAGAUUCAUAUAAGAUAGAGGGAACAGAAAUUACACAGUUAUCAGCAUUUGAAGGUAAAGAGAAAACCAUGAGACACUUAAGAAAAGACAACAGCCUACCUGAAAACCGAUGCAGGACACGUAAUGCCAAUCAAAGUACUGAUAGUACCUUUCAUUAUUAUGCCUCUACAGAAUCAAAUGAGUAGCAUUGAUACGAAAUAUGAAUAUUUACGUGGUUUGAAGUUAGUGCACAUGAUGACACAGCAAGAUUCAUUCGAGAUAUAGUUGCUACAUGUAGUAGGCGCAGAUCACUACUGGGACAUUGUAGAAGACCAUAUAGUACAGGGAAAUGGUCCCCACAGACGUGAUAUUUGCUUUCAGUACCUACAUACGGUAAAGAGAUUGACACGUCGAACAAUAACACGCUUAAUAUGUCACACUUUGCUGUAGAAUUUAAUCUAGAGAAACGUCGAAAAUUGGAGUCAAUAGGUUAUAGUAAGGAGAUAGACAAAGACGAUGAUGCAUGUAUUUAUGACAAAAAUAAGCAAAGACCCAUCGAAACUACAUCUGAUUAACAAAUUUAAUAAUACUUUUAGAUAUUUGGAUAUCAAUAAUGACGACUUCAGUAUGUAUAGUAAAGAAAUUUAUCCUGUUGAACUUACUUUAAAUAAAGCUAAUACUAACAAUGAUCACUGCCCUUUCCUCGAUCUUGAUAUCUAUAUAUAUCACUUAAGGAAAGCUGAAUACUAUAAUUUAUGAUAUAAGAGGUGAUUUUUCAUUUCCUAUCAUUAAUUAUCCAUUUUUAGAUGGUGACAAGGUAUUUUCCGGUGUUUAUAUAUCUCAACUUGUACAAUUCGCUCGUGUAUGUAACAAUGUUUUAGAUUUUAACGAGAUAAAUUUAUGUAUUACUAAAAAAUAAUUACACCAGGGUUUAAGGACAUCAUUCAUAAAUAUAGCUGAACAUGCAGACUUCUUAUAUACGUUCAGGUAUUUCACAUCCAAUUUUUUAUGGAAGUAUUCUUUAUAAAGCACAAAGGUGUCAGUAUUCACCUCGGAAACUAACAAAACCUUUCCAUAGACUAAUUUAGAAGGGAUAUAGUUACGAUACUGUUGUCAGGUCAUUAAAGAUUUCAUAUUUUGGGAUUAAUAUUGAUCCACUUUAUAUAGGGUCUUUGUAUCGGAACUAAACACAUUUAUUAAAAAAACAGUUUUUGAUAUGACACAGGUUAUGUUCUUCUCAUUUAUGUUAUGAUGGUAUGAUACUAAACCCUUACGGGAAGGAUUGUGCCUGAUGUUCAUAUGAUGUAAUCAUAAUCUUUCAGUCAGUUUGAUUGAAGUCUGGAGCUGGCAUCUCAGUGAACUGCUAGUAGUCUGUUGUUAUUUAUGUAUUUCAGUAUGAGUUAGAUCUAUUUAUUUCCAUUUAACUAUUGUAUAUACUAUAAACAAGGGCUUUUUUACAGUCUAAUUGUAUUGUAAUUGUGUAUUUAUAUAUCAUUAAUAAAAGUGUUCACAUCCACAUAAAUAGAUAUUUUGAGGUAAGAAAAAACAAUAUUGAUAAUGUUCAAUAGGAUAAUAUGGAUUAAUCUAUAGCAUCUAUUUUCUUAUCGUAAAAUAUUUAUAAAACAAUAAAGCCACAAUGU
This is a long non-coding RNA of Mytilus trossulus (common blue mussel), 2081 nucleotides long. RefSeq lists it as uncharacterized. The transcript is spliced from 5 exons. The record is from RefSeq and is a predicted model, not a curated record. NCBI's taxonomy places the organism in Eukaryota, Metazoa, Mollusca, Bivalvia, Mytilida, Mytilidae.